GUAUAAUUGCUCAAAGCUUUUUAUUUUUAAUCCACCAGCCUAACUAGGCUCCAGCAGAGAAAUAUUUACAUUAACAUUUUUAAUAUUGGGCUCCACCUUUUAGGCAGUAUAUAUAUGGCAGUCAUGGACUGUAAGUUGAGUAGUGGUGGUCACAGUGUAUAUGUUAGUCAUGGACUGUAAGUUGAGUAGUGGUGGUCACAGUGUAUAUAGUAGACAUGGACUGUAAGUUGAGUAGUGGUGGUCACAGUGUAUAUGGCAGUCAUGGACUGUAAGUUGGAGUAGUGGUGGUCACAGUGUAUAUAGUAGACAUGGACUGUAAGUUGGAAUAGUGGUGGUCACAGUGUAUAUGGCAGUCAUGGACUGUAAGUUGGAAUAGUGGUGGUCACAGUGUAUAUGGCAGUCAUGGACUGUAAGUUGAGUAGUGGUGGUCACAGUGUAUAUGUUAGUCAUGGACUGUAAGUUGGAUUGUGGUGGUCACAGUGUAUAUGGCAACAUGGACUGUAGGUUGGAGUAGUGGUGGUCACAGUGUAUAUGGUAGUCAUGGACUGUAAGUUGAGUAGUGGUGGUCACAGUGUAUAUAGUAGACAUGGACUGUAAGUUGGAAUAGUGGUGGUCACAGUGUAUAUGGUAGUCAUGGACUGUAAGUUGAGUAGUGGUGGUCACAGUGUAUAUGGUAGUCAUGGACUGUAAGUUGAGUAGUGGUGGUCACAGUGUAUAUAGUAGACAUGGACUGUAAGUUGAGUAGUGGUGGUCACAGUGUAUAUGGUAGUCAUGGACUGUAAGUUGAGUAGUGGUGGUCACAGUGUAUAUAGUAGACAUGGACUGUAAGUUGGAAUAGUGGUGGUCACAGUGUAUAUGGUAGUCAUGGACUGUAAGUUGAGUAGUGGUGGUCACAGUGUAUAUGGUAGUCAUGGACUGUAAGUUGAGUAGUGGUGGUCACAGUGUAUAUAGUAGACAUGGACUGUAAGUUGGAGUAGUGGUGGUCACAGUGUAUAUGGUAGUCAUGGACUGUAAGUUGAGUAGUGGUGGUCACAGUGUAUAUGGCAG
This is a long non-coding RNA of Ictalurus punctatus (channel catfish), 1047 nucleotides long. NCBI's taxonomy places the organism in Eukaryota, Metazoa, Chordata, Actinopteri, Siluriformes, Ictaluridae. The record is from Ensembl.